AACGAACGCUGGCGGCAUGCCUAACACAUGCAAGUCGAACGAGACCUUCGGGUCUAGUGGCGCACGGGUGCGUAACGCGUGGGAACCUGCCCUUAGGUUCGGAAUAACUCCCCGAAAGGGGUGCUAAUACCGGAUAAUGUCUUCGGACCAAAGAUUUAUCGCCUUUGGAUGGGCCCGCGUUGGAUUAGCUAGUUGGUAGGGUAAAAGCCUACCAAGGCGACGAUCCAUAGCUGGUCUGAGAGGAUGAUCAGCCACACUGGGACUGAGACACGGCCCAGACUCCUACGGGAGGCAGCAGUGGGGAAUAUUGGACAAUGGGCGAAAGCCUGAUCCAGCAAUGCCGGGGGAGUGAUGAAGGCCUUAGGGUUGUAAAGCUUUUUUACCCGGGAUGAUAAUGACAGUACCGGGAGAAUAAGCCCCGGCUAACUCCGU
RNAcentral lists this ribosomal RNA (432 nucleotides) under uncultured bacterium. Its description in RNAcentral is "partial 16S ribosomal RNA". It matches the Rfam family "Bacterial small subunit ribosomal RNA", at positions 29 to 506 of the family's 1533-position model. The record is from RNAcentral.